CCUACGGGAGGCUGCAGUGGGGAAUAUUGGACAAUGGGCGAAAGCCUGAUCCAGCCAUGCCGCGUGUGUGAAGAAGGCCUUCGGGUUGUAAAGCACUUUCAGUGGGGAAGAAAGCCUUGGGGCUAAUACCCUCGAGGAAGGACAUCACCCACAGAAGAAGCACCGGCUAACUCCGUGCCACCAGCCGCGGUAAUACGGAGGGUGCGAGCGUUAAUCGGAAUUACUGGGCGUAAAGCGCGCGUAGGCGGUCUGAUAAGCCGGUUGUGAAAGCCCCGGGCUCAACCUGGGAACGGCAUCCGGAACUGUCAGGCUAGAGUGCAGGAGAGGAAAGUAGAAUUCCCGGUGUAGCGGUGAAAUGCGUAGAGAUCGGGAGGAAUACCAGUGGCGAAGGCGGCCUUCUGGACUGACACUGACGCUGAGGUGCGAAAGCGUGGGUAGCAAACAGGAUUAGAUACCCGGGUAGUC
RNAcentral lists this ribosomal RNA (465 nucleotides) under Vreelandella stevensii. RNAcentral's name for it is "partial 16S ribosomal RNA". It matches the Rfam family "Bacterial small subunit ribosomal RNA", at positions 338 to 795 of the family's 1533-position model. The record is from RNAcentral. Lineage: Bacteria; Pseudomonadati; Pseudomonadota; Gammaproteobacteria; Oceanospirillales; Halomonadaceae.